This 253-nucleotide ribosomal RNA is filed under the name uncultured bacterium. RNAcentral describes it as "partial 16S ribosomal RNA". It matches the Rfam family "Bacterial small subunit ribosomal RNA", at positions 524 to 776 of the family's 1533-position model. The record is from RNAcentral.
UACGUAGGGGGCUAGCGUUGUCCGGAUUUAUUGGGCGUAAAGAGCGUGUAGGCGGCCAGGUAGGUCUGGUGUGAAAACUCGAGGCUUAACCUCGAGAUGUCAUCGGAAACCAUCUGGCUAGAGUCCGGAAGAGGAGAGUGGAAUUCCUGGUGUAGCGGUGAAAUGCGCAGAUAUCAGGAAGAACACCAAUGGCGAAAGCAGCUCGCUGGGACGGUACUGACGCUGAGACGCGAAAGCGUGGGGAGCGAACAGG